CAGCSSMSGYRAWUYCAGCYYCMAUAGCGUAUAUUAAAGUUGUUGCAGUUAAAAAGCUCGUAGUUGAAUUUCGGGAUUGACACAUCGGUCGUGCCUUAAGGGGUAUGAACUGGUGUAGUCAAUUUCUCACCUUCUGGAGAACCGCGAUGCCCUUAAUUGGGUGUCACGGGGAACCAGGACCUUUACUUUGAAAAAAUUAGAGUGUUUAAAGCAGGCAUUUUGCUUGAAUACAUUAGCAUGGAAUAAUAAAAUAGGACGGCAUGAUUCUAUUUUGUUGGUUUCUAGGAUCACCGUAAUGAUUAAUAGGAAUAGUUGGGGGCAUUAGUAUUCAAUUGUCAGAGGUGAAAUUCUUGGAUUUAUUGGAGACUAACUACUGCGAAAGCAUUUGCCAAGGAUGUCUUCAUUAAUCAAGAACGGAAGUUAGGGGAUCGAAGACGAUCAGAUACCGUCGUAGUCUUAACCAUAAACUAUGCCGACUAGGAAUCAGACGAUGUUAAUKUUUUAAUGMCYCGUUCGGCGCCUACGGGGGAAAACAAAAAAA
This 541-nucleotide ribosomal RNA is filed under the name Entrophospora sp. RNAcentral describes it as "partial small subunit ribosomal RNA". Lineage: Eukaryota; Fungi; Glomeromycota; Glomeromycetes; Entrophosporales; Entrophosporaceae. The record is from RNAcentral.